RNAcentral lists this ribosomal RNA (448 nucleotides) under uncultured bacterium. RNAcentral describes it as "partial 16S ribosomal RNA". It matches the Rfam family "Bacterial small subunit ribosomal RNA", at positions 339 to 795 of the family's 1533-position model. The record is from RNAcentral.
CUACGGGUGGCUGCAGUGGGGAAUUUUGGACAAUGGGGGCAACCCUGAUCCAGCCAUUCCGCGUGAGUGAAGAAGGCCUUCGGGUUGUAAAGCUCUUUUGUCCGGAGCGAAACGGGCGGCCCUAAUACGGUCGUCUACUGACGGUACCGGAAGAAUAAGCACCGGCUAACUACGUGCCAGCAGCCGCGGUAAUACGUAGGGUGCGAGCGUUCGUCGGAAUUGCGGAGCGUAAUGCGUACGCCAGCUGUGUAAUCCCCGGGCUCAACCUGGGAAUGGCAUUUGGGACUGCAAGGCUGGAGUGUGGCAGAGGGGACUAGAAUUCCUGGUGUAGCAGUGAAAUGCGUAGAUAUCAGGAGGAAUACCGAUGGCGAAGGCAGGUCCCUGGGUUAACACUGACGCUCAUGCACGAAAGCGUGGGGAGCAAACAGGAUUAGAUACCCCAGUAGUC